Molecule: small RNA, 125 nt
Filed under: Marmota monax (woodchuck)
Lineage: Eukaryota; Metazoa; Chordata; Mammalia; Rodentia; Sciuridae
Source: RNAcentral
ACCAGGCAUGGUGGAGCAUGCCUGUAAUCCCAAUGGCUCUGGAGGCUGAGGCAGGAGGAUCACAAGUUCAAAGCUAGCCUCAGCAAUGGCGAGGCACUAAGCAACUCAGUGAGAUCCUGUCUCUA